This 254-nucleotide ribosomal RNA is filed under the name uncultured Armatimonadota bacterium. RNAcentral describes it as "uncultured Armatimonadetes bacterium partial 16S ribosomal RNA". It matches the Rfam family "Bacterial small subunit ribosomal RNA", at positions 524 to 776 of the family's 1533-position model. Lineage: Bacteria; Bacillati; Armatimonadota. The record is from RNAcentral.
UACGUAGGGGGCGAGCGUUGUCCGAAGUUACUGGGCGUAAAGCGCGCGUAGGCGGUUUCUUAAGUCUGGGGUGAAAGGUUCAGCGCUCAACGUGAACAGUGCCUUGGAUACUGGGAGACUUGAGUUAGGGAGAGGGUAGUGGAAUUCCUGGUGUAGCGGUGAAAUGCGUAGAUAUCAGGAGGAACACCCAUGGCGAAGGCAGCUACCUGGCCUAUAACUGACGCUGAGGUGCGAAAGCGUGGGGAGCAAACGGG